UUAAGCAUAUCAAUAAGCGGAGGAAAAGAAACUAACAAGGAUUCCCCUAGUAACUGCGAGUGAAGCGGGAAAAGCUCAAAUUUAAAAUCUGGCAGCUUUUUGUUGUCCGAGUUGUAAUCUGGAGAAGUGCUUUCCGCUCUGGACCGUGUACAAGUCUCUUGGAAUAGAGCGUCAUAGAGGGUGAGAAUCCCGUCUUUGACACGGACUACCAGUGCUUUGUGAUGCGCUUUCAAAGAGUCGAGUUGUUUGGGAAUGCAGCUCAAAAUGGGUGGUAAAUUCCAUCUAAAGCUAAAUAUUGGCGAGAGACCGAUAGCGAACAAGUACCGUGAGGGAAAGAUGAAAAGCACUUUGGAAAGAGAGUUAAACAGUACGUGAAAUUGCUGAAAGGGAAACGCUUGAAGUCAGUCACGUCGUUCAGAACUCAGCCCGGCUUCGGCUUGGUGCAUUUUCUGAUCAACGGGCCAGCAUCAAUUUCGACUGUUGGAUAAAGGCCGGGGAAAUGUGGCUCCCUCGGGAGUGUUAUAAUCUCCGGUUGCAUACAAUGGUUGGGAUUGAGGAAUUCAGCACGCCUUCAUGGCUGGGGUUCGCCCACAUUCGUGCUUAGGAUGCUGGCGUAAUGGCUUUAAACGACCCGUCUUGAAACACGGACCAAGGAGUCUAACAUGCCUGCGAGUGUUUGGGUGGAAAACCCGAGCGCGCAAUGAAAGUGAAAGUUGGGAUCCCUGUCGUGGGGAGCACCGACGCCCGGACCAGACCUUCUGUGACGGAUCCGCGGUAGAGCAUGUAUGUUGGGACCCGAAAGAUGGUGAACUAUGCCUGAAUAGGGUGAAGCCAGAGGAAACUCUGGUGGAGGCUCGUAGCGAUUCUGACGUGCAAAUCGAUCGUCAAAUUUGGGUAUAGGGGCGAAAGACUAAUCGAACCCUUUUGCCC
This 930-nucleotide ribosomal RNA is filed under the name Rigidoporus biokoensis. RNAcentral describes it as "partial large subunit ribosomal RNA". It matches the Rfam family "Eukaryotic large subunit ribosomal RNA", at positions 34 to 950 of the family's 3401-position model. The record is from RNAcentral. Lineage: Eukaryota; Fungi; Basidiomycota; Agaricomycetes; Polyporales; Meripilaceae.